GACGAACGCUGGCGGCGUGCCUAAUACAUGCAAGUCGAACGCUUCUUUCCUCCCGAGUGCUUGCACUCAAUUGGAAAGAGGAGUGGCGGACGGGUGAGUAACACGUGGGUAACCUACCCAUCAGAGGGGGAUAACACUUGGAAACAGGUGCUAAUACCGCAUAACAGUUUAUGCCGCAUGGCAUAAGAGUGAAAGGCGCUUUCGGGUGUCGUUGAUGGAUGGACCCGCGGUGCAUUAGCUAGUUGGUGAGGUAACGGCUCACCAAGGCCACGAUGCAUAGCCGACCUGAGAGGGUGAUCGGCCACACUGGGACUGAGACACGGCCCAGACUCCUACGGGAGGCAGCAGUAGGGAAUCUUCGGCAAUGGGCGAAAGUCUGACCGAGCAACGCCGCGUGAGUGAAGAAGGUUUUCGGAUCGUAAAGCUCUGUUGUUAGAGAAGAACAAGGACGUUAGUAACUGAACGUCCCCUGACGGUACCUAACCAGAAAGCCACGGCUAACUACGUG
Molecule: ribosomal RNA, 508 nt
Filed under: uncultured bacterium
Lineage: Bacteria
Description: partial 16S ribosomal RNA
Rfam family: Bacterial small subunit ribosomal RNA
Source: RNAcentral